AGUGAACGCUGGCGGUAGGCCUAACACAUGCAAGUCGAACGGCAGCACAGUAAGAGCUUGCUCUUACGGGUGGCGAGUGGCGGACGGGUGAGGAAUACAUCUGAAUCUACUUUUUCGUGGGGGAUAACGUAGGGAAACUUACGCUAAUACCGCAUACGACCUACGGGUGAAAGCAGGGGAUCUUCGGACCUUGCGCGAUUGAAUGAGCCGAUGUCGGAUUAGCUAGUUGGCGGGGUAAAGGCCCACCAAGGCGUCGAUCCGUAGCUGGUCUGAGAGGAUGAUCAGCCACACUGGAACUGAGACACGGUCCAGACUCCUACGGGAGGCAGCAGUGGGGAAUAUUGGACAAUGGGCGCAAGCCUGAUCCAGCCAUACCGCGUGGGUGAAGAAGGCCUUCGGGUUGUAAAGCCCUUUUGUUGGGAAAGAAAAGCAGCGGGUUAAUACCCCGCUGUUCUGACGGUACCCAAAGAAUAAGCACCGGCUAACUUCGUG
RNAcentral lists this ribosomal RNA (492 nucleotides) under uncultured bacterium. RNAcentral's name for it is "partial 16S ribosomal RNA". It matches the Rfam family "Bacterial small subunit ribosomal RNA", at positions 29 to 507 of the family's 1533-position model. The record is from RNAcentral.